RNAcentral lists this ribosomal RNA (408 nucleotides) under uncultured bacterium. RNAcentral's name for it is "partial 16S ribosomal RNA". It matches the Rfam family "Bacterial small subunit ribosomal RNA", at positions 28 to 526 of the family's 1533-position model. The record is from RNAcentral.
GACGAACGCUGGCGGCGUGCUUAACACAUGCAAGUCGAACGGAGUGGCGAACGGGUGAGUAACACGUGGGUGACCUGCCCUGCACUUCGGGAUAAGCCUGGGAAACUGGGUCCAAUACCGGCUAGUGUGGGAUGGGCUCGCGGCCUAUGAGAUUGUUGGUGGGGUAAUGGCCUACCAAGGCGGCGACGGAUAGCCGGCCUGAGAGGGUGGACGGCCAAAAUGCGACUGAGGCACGGACCAGAGUCGUACGGAAGGCAGCAGUGGAGAAUAUUGCACAGUGAGCGGGAGCGUGAUGCAGCGACGCCGCGUGGGGGAUGACGGCCUUCGGGUUGUAAACUCCUUUCACCAGCGACGCGGUAGAUGGAGAAGAAGCACCGGCUAACUACGUGCCAGCAGCCGCGGUAAUUC